GAGACCUACGGGGCGCAGCAGUGAGGAAUAUUGGUCAAUGGGCGGGAGCCUGAACCAGCCAAGUCGCGUGAAGGAAGAAGGUAUUUAGUAUUGUAAACUUCUUUUGUCGGGGAACAGAGGCGGAGACGCGUCUCCGGAUGAGUGUACCCGAAGAAAAAGCAUCGGCUAACUCCGUGCCAGCAGCCGCGGUAAUACGGAGGAUGCGAGCGUUAUCCGGAUUUAUUGGGUUUAAAGGGUGCGCAGGCGGGGGAUC
This 253-nucleotide ribosomal RNA is filed under the name uncultured bacterium. RNAcentral describes it as "partial 16S ribosomal RNA". It matches the Rfam family "Bacterial small subunit ribosomal RNA", at positions 334 to 584 of the family's 1533-position model. The record is from RNAcentral.